AUGUUAGCUAUACACAAGUUAACUAUAUUUGGCUUUUGGCUAAUUAGCUGUAAACUCGAGGCACUGGUAGCUUAGUCUUUUGUUCAUCACCACUCACCUCCAGUCCACACAAGCCAAGAAAAACACAACUGGGAUAAGAGCAGGAGGGAUUGCUAACUGCCUGUCUUUGUGUCUGAGGCACUGAUGUGUGCUGCACUUCAUCUGCGCGGAGACAUGGAGGGAGGGCAUCGUAACUCGACAAAGUCUCAUCUCCCGACCUGACAUUUAGAUUUUUUAUUAAAUAAAUAUAUUUGUUUGACAGGGAAGCUGUGUACAAACAGGAAUAUAUAUAAGCAAUUUCACACGAGCAAGAGUGCGAUAUGGCUCUACAUCAGCACUGCUGUGAUUCUGCCGCAGGCCGAGACAUAUCCAGCUGCAGACCCGCAGCACCACCAGUUUCAGAACCCCAGCGCCAGAACCUGAAGUGAGGGGCGGAGUUAUUGACAAUGAGACAAGCAUGGCGGAGAGCAUGUAAGAUGACAGCCAAAAUUGCACCUGGCACAUGGGUGCUACUGAAAAACAAGGAUAUCCCCCAACAGAUUGGUGGUGUAGACUGUGGAGUCUUCAUGUUGAUGGUGAGACAUUGUUUUGAUAUAAUUAAACCAAUGAUUGGUGUGGUGGUGUUUUUAUUUUAAUUUUUUUAAGUUGUUAAAUACGGAACAAGGAAGAUUUUUUUUAAUUUGACGUUUACAGAGAUAAUGUUCCUUAAUUUUUGCUGUUUUCCAUUAUGCUCUACAUCUUGUCUUGGGAGCACCCUUUGAUUUUACAUCUUGCGACUUUCCAAACAUACGGAGAUGGUGGGCUCUUAUUCUUCUGGAGAACUUUGGGGUUUUCUCUGAAAGGAGCUCCCAAUAAUCCAGCACAUGAAAGAAGCUGUGAAAUGGCUCCAUUCCAACAGCCAUCUGCUCAGGGGUCUAGUGGAAGAGCCUCUUUUAAUUCGAAUGAAUGAAGACCACAAGGAAAAGGCCCGCAACAAUCUCCUGGAACAGUCAGAAGCUUCCAGAGAGCCCUUUGUAUUUCAUUUUGUGUUCAGGGAUGACAUGGAGUUAUUUUUACAAGAAUGUAAGGACAAAAUGGGCCUGAGAGUGAAUGCCUCAUUUGAUACAUUUUAAUUUUUAAUUUUAAUUUAUACAGGAUUGUCAUGGUAAAAUGGG
This is a long non-coding RNA of Xyrauchen texanus (razorback sucker), 1193 nucleotides long. RefSeq lists it as uncharacterized. The record is from RefSeq and is a predicted model, not a curated record. The transcript is spliced from 5 exons. Lineage: Eukaryota; Metazoa; Chordata; Actinopteri; Cypriniformes; Catostomidae.